RNAcentral lists this ribosomal RNA (217 nucleotides) under uncultured bacterium. RNAcentral's name for it is "partial 16S ribosomal RNA". It matches the Rfam family "Bacterial small subunit ribosomal RNA", at positions 120 to 334 of the family's 1533-position model. The record is from RNAcentral.
GGAAGUACUUGCCUUAUGCAAGAGGAUAGCCUCGGGAAACUGGGAUUAAUACUCUAUAAAACUCUAGUACGGCAUCGUACAUGAGUCAAAACUCCGGUGGCAUAAGAUGAUCCCGCGUCCCAUUAGCUAGUUGGUGAGGGUAAUGGCCCACCAAGGCGACGAUGGGUAGCCGGCCUGAGAGGGUGAACGGCCACACUGGAACUGAGACACGGUCCAG